UCCCAAACCCCCCCCCCCUUAUAUAGGUUUUUUUACACGCUCAGGACGAACGCUGGCGGCGUGCCUAAUACAUGCAAGUCGAGCGGAUUGAAGGGAGCUUGCUCCCUGAUAUUAGCGGCGGACGGGUGAGUAACACGUGGGCAACCUGCCCUGCAGAUGGGGAUAACUCCGGGAAACCGGGGCUAAUACCGAAUAAUCGGUUCUUCCGCAUGGAAGAACUCUGAAAGACGGUUUCGGCUGUCACUGCAGGAUGGGCCCGCGGCGCAUUAGCUAGUUGGUGGGGUAACGGCCUACCAAGGCGACGAUGCGUAGCCGACCUGAGAGGGUGAUCGGCCACACUGGGACUGAGACACGGCCCAGACUCCUACGGGAGGCAGCAGUAGGGAAUCUUCCACAAUGGACGAAAGUCUGAUGGAGCAACGCCGCGUGAGCGAAGAAGGUUUUCGGAUCGUAAAGCUCUGUUGCGAGGGAAGAACAAGUACGGGAGUAACUGCCCGUACCUUGACGGUACCUCGUCAGAAAGCCACGGCUAACUACGUGCCAGCAGCCGCGGUAAUACGUAGGUGGCAAGCGUUGUCCGGAAUUAUUGGGCGUAAAGCGCGCGCAGGCGGUCCUUUAAGUCUGAUGUGAAAGCCCACGGCUCAACCGUGGAGGGUCAUUGGAAACUGGAGGACUUGAGUACAGAAGAGGAAAGCGGAAUUCCACGUGUAGCGGUGAAAUGCGUAGAGAUGUGGAGGAACACCAGUGGCGAAGGCGGCUUUCUGGUCUGUAACUGACGCUGAGGCGGAAAGGACGGCCC
RNAcentral lists this ribosomal RNA (799 nucleotides) under Sporosarcina ginsengisoli. Its description in RNAcentral is "bacterial SSU rRNA". It matches the Rfam family "Bacterial small subunit ribosomal RNA", at positions 1 to 767 of the family's 1533-position model. The record is from RNAcentral. Lineage: Bacteria; Bacillati; Bacillota; Bacilli; Caryophanales; Caryophanaceae.